This 253-nucleotide ribosomal RNA is filed under the name uncultured bacterium. RNAcentral describes it as "partial 16S ribosomal RNA". It matches the Rfam family "Bacterial small subunit ribosomal RNA", at positions 524 to 776 of the family's 1533-position model. The record is from RNAcentral.
UACGUAGGGGGCUAGCGUUGUCCGGAAUCAUUGGGCGUAAAGCGCGUGUAGGCGGUCCAGUAAGUCCGCUGUGAAAGUCGGGGGCUCAACCCUCGAAUGCCGGUGGAUACUGUCGGGCUAGAGUGCGGAAGAGGCGAGUGGAAUUCCUGGUGUAGCGGUGAAAUGCGCAGAUAUCAGGAGGAACACCAAUUGCGAAGGCAGCUCGCUGGGACGUAACUGACGCUGAGACGCGAAAGCGUGGGGAGCAAACAGG